UACGGAGGGUGCAAGCGUUACUCGGAAUCACUGGGCGUAAAGCGCGCGCAGGCGGCUUGAUAAGUUGGAUGUGAAAGCCUACGGCUCAACCGUAGAACUGCAUCCAAAACUGUCAAGCUAGAGUCUGGGAGGGGAAGAUGGAAUUAGUUGUGUAGGGGUAAAAUCCGUAGAGAUAACUAGGAAUACCAAAAGCGAAGGCGAUAUUCUGGAACAGUACUGACGCUGAGGCGCGAAAGCGUGGGGAGCAAACAGGAUUAGAUACCCUGGUAGUCCACGCCCUAAACGAUGAAUGUUAGUCGUCGGAGGCCUAGUGUCUUCGGUGAUGCAGCUAACGCAUUAAACAUUCCGCCUGGGGAGUACGGUCGCAAGAUUAAAACUCAAAGGAAUAGACGGGGACCCGCACAAGUGGUGGAGCAUGUGGUUUAAUUCGAAGAUACGCGAAGAACCUUACCUAGCCUUGACAUAUAUUAGAACUCCGUAGAGAUACAGAGGUGCCUUCGGGAGCUUUUAUACAGGUGCUGCACGGCUGUCGUCAGCUCGUGUCGUGAGAUGUUGGGUUAAGUCCCGCAACGAGCGCAACCCUCGUCACUAGUUACUAACGGUUCGGCCGAGGACUCUAGUGAGACUGCCUUCGCAAGGAGGAGGAAGGUGAGGACGACGUCAAGUCAUCAUGGCCCUUACGGCUAGGGCAACACACGUGCUACAAUGGCCAGGACAGUGAGACGCGAUACCGCGAGGUGGAGCAAAUCUAUAAACCUGGUCUCAGUUCGGAUUGUAGUCUGCAACUCGACUACAUGAAGCUGGAAUCACUAGUAAUCGUAGAUCAGCUAUGCUACGGUGAAUACGUUCCCGGGUC
Molecule: ribosomal RNA, 856 nt
Filed under: uncultured bacterium
Lineage: Bacteria
Description: bacterial SSU rRNA
Rfam family: Bacterial small subunit ribosomal RNA
Source: RNAcentral